This 68-nucleotide transfer RNA is filed under the name Paratya australiensis. RNAcentral's name for it is "tRNA-Gln". Lineage: Eukaryota; Metazoa; Arthropoda; Malacostraca; Decapoda; Atyidae. The record is from RNAcentral.
UAUAAAUUAGUGUAAAGGCACAUAAAGUUUUGAUCUUUAAAGAAUUGGUGCGAUUCCAUUGUUUGUAU